GGAGCAUGUGGUUUAAUUCGACGCAACGCGAAGAACUUACCAGGGCUUGACAUCCCCUGACCGCGUAUGAAAGUACGUUUUCACCUCGGUGACAGGGAGACAGGUGGUGCAUGGUUGUCGUCAGCUCGUGUCGUGAGAUGUUGGGUUAAGUCCCGCAACGAGCGCAACCCUCGACCUUAGUUGCCAGCAUUCAGUUGGGCACUCUAAGGUGACUGCCGGCUAAAAGUCGGAGGAAGUGGGGAUGACGUCAAAUCAUCAUGCCCCUUAUGACCUGGGCUACACACGUGCUACAAUGGGCGGUACAAAGGGUCGCGAACCCGCGAGGGGGAGCCAAUCCCAAAAAGCCGCUCUCAGUUCGGAUUGCAGGCUGCAACUCGCCUGCAUGAAGCCGGAAUCGCUAGUAAUCGCGGAUCAGCAUGCCGCGGUGAAUACGUUCCCGGGCCUU
Molecule: ribosomal RNA, 445 nt
Filed under: uncultured Anoxybacillus sp.
Lineage: Bacteria; Bacillati; Bacillota; Bacilli; Caryophanales; Anoxybacillaceae
Description: bacterial SSU rRNA
Rfam family: Bacterial small subunit ribosomal RNA
Source: RNAcentral